UACCGUGAAACUGCGAAUGGCUCAUUAAAUCAGUUAUCGUUUAUUUGAUAGUACCUUACUACUUGGAUAACCGUGGUAAUUCUAGAGCUAAUACAUGCUAAAAACCCCGACUUCGGGAGGGGUGUAUUUAUUAGAUAAAAAACCAAUGCCCUUCGGGGCUCUUUGGUGAUUCAUAAUAACUUAACGGAUCGCAUGGCCUUGCGCCGGCGACGGUUCAUUCAAAUUUCUGCCCUAUCAACUUUCGAUGGUAAGGUAUUGGCUUACCAUGGUUUCAACGGGUAACGGGGAAUUAGGGUUCGAUUCCGGAGAGGGAGCCUGAGAAACGGCUACCACAUCCAAGGAAGGCAGCAGGCGCGCAAAUUACCCAAUCCCGACACGGGGAGGUAGUGACAAUAAAUACUGAUACAGGGCUCUUUUGGGUCUUGUAAUUGGAAUGAGUACAAUUUAAACCCCUUAACGAGGAACAAUUGGAGGGCAAGUCUGGUGCCAGCAGCCGCGGUAAUUCCAGCUCCAAUAGCGUAUAUUAAAGUUGUUGCAGUUAAAAAGCUCGUAGUUGAAACUUGGGCCUGGCUGGCCGGUCCGCCUCACCGCGUGUACUGGUCCGGCCGGGCCUUUCCUUCUGGAGAGCCUCAUGCCCUUCACUGGGUGUGUUGGGGAACCAGGACUUUUACUUUGAAAAAAUUAGAGUGUUCAAAGCAGGCCUUUGCUCGAAUACGUUAGCAUGGAAUAAUAGAAUAGGACGUGCGAUCCUAUUUUGUUGGUUUCUAGGACCGCCGUAAUGAUUAAUAGGGAUAGUCGGGGGCAUCAGUAUUCAAUUGUCAGAGGUGAAAUUCUUGGAUUUAUUGAAGACUAACUACUGCGAAAGCAUUUGCCAAGGAUGUUUUCAUUAAUCAGUGAACGAAAGUUAGGGGAUCGAAGACGAUCAGAUACCGUCGUAGUCUUAACCGUAAACUAUGCCGACUAGGGAUCGGGCGAUGUUAUUAUUUUGACUCGCUCGGCA
RNAcentral lists this ribosomal RNA (1000 nucleotides) under Lindgomyces madisonensis. RNAcentral describes it as "SSU rRNA". It matches the Rfam family "Eukaryotic small subunit ribosomal RNA", at positions 77 to 1085 of the family's 1831-position model. Lineage: Eukaryota; Fungi; Ascomycota; Dothideomycetes; Pleosporales; Lindgomycetaceae. The record is from RNAcentral.